ACUAUAACAAACUUUGUACAUCAACAUUUUCAGAAGUUCUUGCCAAUCAAUUACUAAGACACCAACAACACAAAUAAUAAAUACAACUCAAAUGAAUAGGAUGGACAGAGAAUAAUCUUCCUAAUUUUACAGCAUUGAAUAAAACACUGUAUACUUUCUAUAAACACUCAUGGCAGCCAAACUGAAAAACCAAUGACAAAAACAACACAGCAAACUGUAUCAUCACACUAUAAAUCAGAAUACGAGAUUUUUCUUCUUUUGUUUUCCCUUCCAAAUUAUUAAACUUUAACCUCACCUUUAGGUUCAGAAGAAGGCACUUUAACCUCGCCUUUAGGUUCAGAAGAAGGCGUUUUCGAGUUGGUAGAUUUUCCAAUGAUAGCUUUCUUUGCCUUCACAAGUGUGUGCUUCACCUUGGACAAAAUGGUAUUUGAUUGCUUUUGAGCUGAUUUUACUGUAACCUCUUCUUUAGGGAGGUCUCCCGAUGUUAUUGUAUCAUCAGGUUUUUUAGUGUCAUCGGCUUCUGCUUCCUUCUCUGACUUAGUUCCAUCUGUUAGGACAGUCUCCUCUCC
Molecule: long non-coding RNA, 569 nt
Filed under: Panax ginseng (ginseng)
Lineage: Eukaryota; Viridiplantae; Streptophyta; Magnoliopsida; Apiales; Araliaceae
Description: long non-coding RNA (PGIN_LNC008327)
Source: RNAcentral